UCAAGCUAAUAAGAGCAUAAGGUGAAUGCCUUGGCAUCAAGAACCGAUGAAGGACGUAAAAAGCUGCGAUAAGCUUCGGGGAGGCGCACAUAGCCAACGAUCCGGAGAUUUCCGAAUGGGGAAACCUAGCUGAGAAAAGCUCAGUUGGCGUACAGUGAAUCAAUAGCUGUGCGUAGGGAACGCUCUGAACUGAAACAUCUAAGUAGGAGCAGGAAGAGAAAGAAACAUCGAUUUCCUAAGUAGUGGCGAACGAACGGGAAACAGGCCAAACCGAGAUACAUGUAUUUCGGGGUUGUGGACUACACCAUGUGAUGGAGGUAAGGUAGUAGAAUUGUUUUGGGAAAGCAAGCCAAAGAAAGUGAAAGCCUUGUAUACGAAACCUGAAGACCCACAGUAGUAUCCAGAGUACAUCGGGACACGUGAAACCCUGAUGGAAGCCGGAGGGACCACCCUCCAAGCCUAAAUAUUCCUUGAUGACCGAUAGCGAAGAAGUACUGUGAAGGAAAGGUGAAAAGAACCCCGGGAGGGGAGUGAAAGAGAACCUGAAACCUUAUGUUUACAAACAGUCGAAGUUUUUCGGAACGACGGCGUACUUUUUGUAGAACGGUCCGGCGAGUUGCAGUGACAUGCGAGGUUAAGGAGUACAGCUCCGGAGCCGAAGGGAAACCAAGUCUUAACUGGGCGUCUAGUAUGUUAAUGCAGACCCGAAACCGGGUGACCUAUCCAUGGGCAGGUUGAAGUUACCGUAAAAGGUAAUGGAGGACCGAACUCACAUCUGUUGAAAAAGGUGGAGAUGACCUGUGGAUAGCGGAGAAAUUCCAAUCGAACUCGGAGAUAGCUGGUUCUCCUCGAAAUAGCUUUAGGGCUAGCCUUGAGGUAAAGUCUAAUGGAGGUAAAGCACUGAUUGGACGCGGGUCCCCAAAAGGAUACCAACUUCUAUCAAACUCAGAAUGCCAUAUAGAUAUACUCAGGAGUCAGACUAUGUGAGAUAAGUUUCAUAGUCAAAAGGGAAAGAGCCCAGACCGACAGCUAAGGUCCCAAAGUGUGUGUUAAGUGGAAAAGGAUGUUAGGUUUCUAAGACAACUAGGAUGUUGGCUCAGAAGCAGCCACUCAUUUAAAGAGUGCGUAACAGCUCACUAGUCGAGAGGUCUAGCGCCGAAAAUGUCCGGGGCUAAAACACACCACCGAAGCUACGGAAUUACCUAUGGUAAUUGGUAGAGGAGCAUUCUGUAAGGAUGAAGCACAAUUGAAAGAGAGUGUGGACGAAACAGAAGAGAGAAUGCCGGAAUGAGUAGCGAGAUAUAUGUGAGAAUCAUAUAGGUCGAAUGUCUAAGGUUUCCUGGGUAAAGCUGAUCUGCUCAGGGUAAGUCGGGACCUAAGGUGAGGGCGAGAGCCGUAAUCGAUGGACAACAGGUAGAAAUUCCUGUACUACGUAUAAUCAGAACUGUGGGGACGCAGGAGGAUAGGAAAACCGGAGAAUGGAAAAAUCCGGCUAAGUACAAAGGUGUGAGUGAUAGGCAAAUCCGUCACUAUUAGCUGAAGUACGAAUGGGAGCGAAGAAAAGUAGCGAAGUUUCUGAAUCCACACUGUCAAGAAAAGCCGCUAUUGCGUUAUACGUACCCGUACCGCAAACCGACACAGGUAGACGAGGAGAAAAUCCACAGACCGACGGGAGAAGUGUUGUUAAGGAACUCGGCAAAAUGACCCCGUAACUUAGGGAUAAGGGGAGCCAACGCAAGUUGGUCACAGAAAAGAGGCUCAAGCGACUGUUUAGCAAAAACAUAGGUCUAUGCGAAACCGUAAGGUGAUGUAUAUGGGCUGACACCUGCCCGGUGCUGGAAGGUCAAAAGGAGAGGUUAGCGUAAGCGAAGCUUUGAAUUCAAGCCCCAGUAAACGGCGGCCGUAACUAUAACGGUCCUAAGGUAGCGAAAUUCCUUGUCAGGUAAGUUCUGACCCGC
This 1958-nucleotide ribosomal RNA is filed under the name human gut metagenome. RNAcentral describes it as "bacterial LSU rRNA". It matches the Rfam family "Bacterial large subunit ribosomal RNA", at positions 3 to 1991 of the family's 2925-position model. The record is from RNAcentral.